RNAcentral lists this transfer RNA (73 nucleotides) under Marmota monax (woodchuck). RNAcentral describes it as "tRNA.Undet". The record is from RNAcentral. Lineage: Eukaryota; Metazoa; Chordata; Mammalia; Rodentia; Sciuridae.
UGGGGUUGUGGCUCAGUGGUAGAGUGCUCACCUAGCACACUUGAGGCACUGAGUUCGAUCCUCAGCACCACAA